Mytilus californianus (California mussel) is the source of this 7616-nucleotide long non-coding RNA. RefSeq lists it as uncharacterized. The record is from RefSeq and is a predicted model, not a curated record. The transcript has 2 exons. NCBI's taxonomy places the organism in Eukaryota, Metazoa, Mollusca, Bivalvia, Mytilida, Mytilidae.
ACUAAUUCAAUAAUCUGAAAGAACAAGCUGUCAUCUUAACAUGUUCACUUUACUACUUCUUCAAUUAAUUUCAUUGUAGUUUCUAUAAUUCAUUGCUUAAUGGUAUGCUGUAUUAUAUGAAUAUUUAUUUGAAUUUUUCAGCCGGUAAGUGUCAAGUAGCAAACAGAUAAGUAUAGCGUACAAUUAUCUAUGCAAUUUAUAAUAUAACAAUAUUUAUACAAUGGUGUUAGUAGAGUAGUAAAGUAAAACAAUAAACAUACCAUGAAAAUGAUGUGUGAUAGACUCGCGUUCCGUCUACAAAAGAGGCGGAAAUACCAAACAGACAUUCAAACUUAUUAGUCGAACAUAAACUGACAACGCCAUAGCAUGAACCUAAACAGUCAAAACGACAAACAACAGUAUACAAACAACAAAAAAACCGGGAUUGAUUUCAUGUGCUGUUUUCUAAAUUUAUCUUAACAGGAAACGCUCAAAGCAGAAAUGUGUGAAUCAAAGGACGUAUAAUAAUCAACAUAGUUCAAGUAUAUGACCAUAGAGAACAUACACGAAAAUAAUUAUAUCAACUUAACGUCAACAUUACUUGAGGAGGUUAAAACCUAAGUUUCUUUAUAAUUUAUAAAUUUAUAAAGCGACACUUUGAAAUCAUACAAAUAUAACAUUUCAAUAUUUGGCAUGACUAAUGACUUUAGUAGUGAAUAAUCUGACAGACCAAGCUGUCAUCUUGAAUUGUUCUACUAUCACGUUACUACAAAUUCAAUUAAUUUCAUUUUUGUUGUAAUAAUUCAUUGCUCAAUGGUAUGUUGUAUUCUAUGAAUAUUUAUUUGAAUUUUCCAGCUGGUAAGUGUCAAGUAGCAAACAGAUAAGUAUAGCGUACAAUUAUAUAUGCAAUUUAUAAUAUAACAAUAUUUAUAUAACUGUGUCAGUAGUGUAGUAAAGUAAAACAAUAAACAUACCAUUUAAAGAGAGAAAUAGUCGAAAAAAGUAUUUAGAAAUGUGUUGGUAAAACACUAUUAUCUGCUUUUCUUUAAAACAACCCCUUUGAAAAAAUUAUAAGAAAUUGUAUUUUUAGAUAAUUGUUGUCAAGUAUUGAAAUAUGAGAAUACAUUAUGAAAUAAUAUGGCUUGAUUAUGACAAUUAAUAGUUUAUAAAGCUUGAAUCAUGUGAUUAUUUAUGCAGCCACUGGAUAUGCUUAUUACGUGAAACUAUCCAAAUUGGUAUGUCCUUAUGUUUGCAUAAGGGAGACAGUAUUUAACUGAUGCCCAAAAUGUCACUUUAUGUUUAGUCUUGUUUAUUCUUUUUGAUUAUACCUAUCAUUUAAUUGCUGUUCAAACAAUAGAAUGUUGUGCUACAUACCAUGUAUAAACUCCUGAUUAUGCAGUAACUACUCAUCAAUAGGCGAUCAGCAAAAGCACAUCACAUAAUCAAUAUGCUAGUAUAUUCAUGAUAUAAAUUCCAAUUGUUUGUUCUACUAUGAUUGCUAUAUAAUUCACUACUGGACACCAUAGAUACAAAACACCUAUAGACAAAAUUGAUGCUUUUGUGAUUUGUAUAUAACUCUAAAAGAGAAGAUAAUGACUUUACAACUAUUUUUUGGGAUAUAGAUAUUCGUGUUCUCCACUUGGUUUGUCAUUUUUUAUAUCUAUACUUCGUUUGAAUAGCUACCACAUUCAAGAAAACACAGUUUCUAGUUAAGAAAACCAAAAACCUCAAAACAAUAUGCUGAACAUAUUCAGUAAAAUUUAUAAACUGGUGUUUUUGAGAUGAGUAAUUGCUGUAUCGUGAUUGUCUCAAAUUAUUCCUCAUUUUAAACUAGCAUUUUUUUUUAAAUUUUUUUUUAUUAUUUUUCAGUCUAAUGUAAGUAUUCUGUACCAUAAAAGAUAAGUAUAUUGCAAUUAUUUGACAAAAAAUGAAGAAUGAAAGAAUAAUAGAUAGUGAAUGUUGUGUAUGGUGCUUUUAUUGAAAUUGGACUAUGUAAAAACAGUUCUAAUCAAUAAAGACGAAAUUAUAUAGAGGUAACAAAACCCAUUCGUAUAUUAGAAGCAAUCCGAUAUUUAGAUCAGUAUGAUUUUAAAUGAAAUGCUAAGUAAUCUAACUUCAAACGUAAACAAAUAGACAAUACAAUUCGUAUUGUUGUUUAUAACUAUUUUUAACAACACCUUGUUUUUUCUCUAGUAAUAUAAAAAUAUAUUUCAAGUAUUAAAUACUUUCGUGAAGAUCUUCAAUGAAAGAUUUAUUAUUUUAACAAAUCUAAAUGUUAUGAAUGUCUUUAACCCAACGAAUAAUAUAUUGAAAUAAACAGAUUGAUAACUGUAUUUGGACAAAAUGCUUCCAAAUUGAUUAAAACGUUGUAUAGGUAAAUCAUUACGACUUAAUAACCUGACAAAUACACUGCCAGUAGUAACAGAGUAUUCCGUAAAACAGUAUAGAAACUUUAUAAAGAGAUCAGGUUUAUAAUGUUGUACAUUUAUCUGUAAACGGACAAUAUUUGAAAGCUUUAUAACCCUUGAUAUGGACAGUUAACCUAUCAUCACUCGCAUAUGGAAGUUUUAUAUUUUUAAUUGAUAAAAGAACAAACAUGUUUUUCAGUUGCAUUUGUUAUUUGUUAUGACAGUAAGACAUAACAGGCAAUAUAAGACUGAAGUUUAACCAGUGCUUCAGAACACAUUAUAUGUUUGUUAUAUUAAAAUUUUACAAACACAAAAUUUUAAUUUUUGCAUGAUUACUGACUUUAACAUUCAACAAAAAGCUGUCAGUUCUACUAUCACUUUACUACUUAUACUACGGUUGCUUCUAUAACACUUAUACUACGGGGCUUCUAUAACUAAUUGCUAGAUAGUAUGAUGUAUUGUAUGAUCAUUUACUUGAUUUGAUAUUUUUUGCAGUCGGUGAGUGAAUAGUUUCAAACAGAUAAUCAUAGUUUACCAUUAUAUCGCAAUUUAUAACAUGACAAUAGUCUUUGACACUUGAAUAAUGUACUUCAUGUACUUAAUUAUGCAGGUUGCAUAACGCGGAAUGAUCUUAUUGCGUUACGAUAUUCAAAGUUCUGCAAAUAUAGUAUACGUUUAAUAUGUCCGUAUUUCUGCAAAAAGGUGACAAUAUGUCUAAAUUGUAACAAUAUUUUUUUUUUAUCUUGUAUCUUCUUUCUCAUUAUUCCUUCCAUGUUAUAUAUCUAUAUGGCCAAGCAAUGUAUUAAUUCCCGAUAUGUACAUAUUAUGCUGUUAACCAGAAUUCCAGGUUAUUUGAUUAAUCGUCGCCAUGCAAAGUUGUUUCCGAUUAAUAAUAAAUGUAUGACGUCUGUUUUUAAAACAUGGUUCUAGAAUUACAAAAACAAAAAAACAUGUGUUGUCUUUUGUGUAAUUUAAUAUAUAUAUAUCAUACUAUUACUAUUUCAAAUAUAUGUAUUAUUUAACUUUAGUCGGUAACUGUCAAGUACCAAAUCGUAAACUAAAACUACAAACUUUGAACAUUUGUUGUCAUAUGAAUUAUAUGACAAAUGGCAGUCUUCUUAUAAAAGUGGAAAAAGGUGAUAGUUGCAAUGUUUGACAAUAUAAAAACAGUUGCAUAAAUAACACUGUUACUUUGCUUAUAAAAAAAUCAAAAUGUGAUAGAAUUGACAAUGAGACAGCUACCCAAUAUAGAGUAAAUGAUGUUGAUGGUAGUUGCAAUUAGUCACAUUACGGGCUUUUCCAAUAGUGAGAAAUGCAAAUACCGUAUAUUAAGUAAGCUAAAAAAAUCCCAAAAUGACAAUAUGUGAACUAUAGAACUUACACUGUUAGGUCCGAUAGGUAAAUACAUUUUGACAAAAGUCAUGAUAUAAUAUGUUCUCUUUGUAGCUGUACCUGUGGAGAAUUGCUGAAUCACAUAUGGGAGUAAAUAUACAGCCAGUAACAAACAUUUGCAAGACACAGAAAUGAUAUAAAACACUUUCUUCUGAUAAAACAAUAAUGGAAAACAAAUAUAAUGUUUCCUUGUUUUAUUUGUAUGUUAGUUUUAUGUUGAAAUAUGUACGAUUCUGACAACAUAAAAAGACAAACUUUGCAAAUAGUUUACUAAAAUGGAUCACACGAAUCAUUCAUACUUUGAUAUUUUCGUAUAUCAGAUAAUAAUUAAAUUUUCUCUCGUGACUUAAUAUUAUAUUAAUUUCGAAAUAAUUAGCUACACUUCAUAAAAAUCAAGUGUUACAAAACUACAAUGAAUUAUUGUCAUGUUAGUGUCUGUUGUUAGAAAAAUAACCUAAACCAUUCGAAUUGAUUCUACUUUUCUAUGUAUCCUACAAUUAAUUUUAGAGUAGAACCUUACGUAUUAAAAAGCAUUAUAACGUGUCGUUUAAGUAUUUAAGCAAUUGAGGCGAAACAAAUUAAAAUUGAACAUUUUUCUAGUACUUCAAGCUUUUGUUCAAGUUAACCACAAUAUGUCUUUACCCUACAUUGUAUUUCUAAAUGUGAAAUCAAUCAUCAGACAUAUAUAUGAUUAAUCCGUUUUUUCUUCCAUUAAACUAGUAACCACGUAGAUUGUAUUAUAUAUCCAUUUAGUAUUUUAGUAAUAUGUAUAUUUUUUGUGAAUGUUAAUUUUCUUGUUUUAUAGAAUUUUAUGAUUAUAUUUCAAUACGUAUUCUUUCUUUUUAAUGACACAAACCUUGCAACUGCUUUGACUAGAAUUUUUUUUAACUGUUUUGCUAACAUCGAAAACAAGUCCAGUAACCCGCUCGACUCCGUUCGUCAUUCCGUCCUUUCGUAAUUCCUUUCGUACGUCCAAAAGACCUUUGAUAGAAAACUUUCGUCAAAGUAUUCGCUGCUUCGUUGAAAGAGAAUUAUCUUAUAUUUGGCGUGCAGCUUGAUAAUGUUGAAUUGUAGCGUGUAAAACAAUUGUUAUAUCCGCUGUGCAGCCACUUUCUGUUUGCUGAUAGUUCGAAAUAUUACAACUCUGAUUGUACAAGGACAAUUUUCGUCAAAGUUUUCUUGGCUUGAUUGAAUGGAAGUGACAAGGUAUGUUUUCGUGUACAAGUCCCUCAAUCAAUAGACCAGUUUCCAGUUUUUAGCAUUUUCGUCAAAAUCUUUGGUUUUAGUGAACAUCAUUCGUGCGUUUAGGGGCAUCGUCACUUCCUUCCAAUGUUGAGCGAGCGGUUAAAAAAUAUGAUUCUAUGUUGCUCUAAUCAUUCGGCAAAUUAAAUUCUUAGAAUUGAUAAUCAGCGCAGCUGUCAUUAGGGAAUUGUGAUUAAGUACCUACGGAACAAACAUAAUUUUUAGAUUAGCCUGCAUAAUGAUGAUCACGAAGAUGCUUGAUGAACUUUAAAAGUGCAGGGAUACAGGCGGUCCCCUCUAUCAGGAAAAUGACGUCAUAAAGGCGCGCAUAAUUGACAAACUUUUUUUGGCGAAGGACAUAACUCGAAAGGUGUCUAUUGUAUGCUGUGACGCAGAUCCAGACACGGUGUUUCUCUUGUUUUAAAUACGAUAGAGAAAAUUGUUAAAUAAUCUUGCAAACACAUGGAUCGGUCGUACUUUUAUAUCUACUGAUAUCGGAUAAUGAUAAAAUAUCUUAGUUUAUACUUUACGCUCGUGCCUGUUAACAAUAUACAUAAUUCAUUAACACGGGUGUGCUUAUUACUGAAAACUUGCUCCACACUGUUAAGAGAAAAAACGACUGAAAUCGCCAAUUUAUAAAUUUUACGAAUUGGUUGACCGAUAUGAUAUGUUUGUGUCUCAAAUCAUUAGCUACAUGUUUUAAAUCGUUUGAUAAAGGUACAUGUUUCUGAUUCUGUCCGAUUGUUACAUUCUGUAAGCAUUCACUUCUUACGGAUUUAAGGAAUAAAAUUACAUAAGUUAUUAAUAGUUUGAAUCUGAAAUAAAAGUUUAAACACAAAAAACGUAGCUGUGAAUAUGAACGUAAAUGUCAUGUAGUGUAAGGAAUAUGCACUGGAAAUUACCCAAAAAUAUCUUGGAGUAUAUUUAAACCUUCAGGUAGCUUCACUAAAGCAAAUGAAUAUUUAUGUAAAAAAGCAAGGAAAGCAUCAUUUUGAAUUGACAAAGCACUGCAUUCAGACAAACUAAAUGUAUUACCAAAUCUUAAAUUAUUUGACUCAUGUGUAAAACCUAUACUUCUUUACUGUAGUGAAAUUUUAUGUCUAGAUACUUUGUUGAAAAACAAUGCUUCCAUGGAGUCUAGCUAUUUGUUUAUAUCAACCUGUGAAAGUACAAAUUAAAUUUGCUAAAUACAUCUUAUGAGUUAACAAAACUGCAUCAAAUUUGGCAGUUUUGGGAGAAUUGGGUAUGAUCCCAUGUUCUGUUGAUGAUUCUAAACUUUGUGUAGGUUACUGGCAUCAUUUAGUCAAUUCAAAUCCAGAUAGUUUAAUAAAAAAGAUUUAUUCAUCAAGUGUUAAUAAUAACUCAGACUGGUAUAGAACAAAAAUGAAAUUGUUAUUUGAUAAAGAUGGAUUUAAACAUGCUGGGAAAAUCAAAAUGCAUUUAGUAAAAAUCGUUUAACUUUUGCUAUAUAUAAAAAACUGAAAAAUGAAUUUAUAAAAUUUUGGGACCAUUCCAUUUCAAAAAGUGUUAUUGAUAAAAGAGGAAACAAAUUAAGAACCUACAAGGAUUUGAAGAAGACAUUUGAUAAGGAGAACUUUUUAAAAUUAGAUAUAGACAGAGCUGAUAUUCCAACUAUGUAAGAAAAAGGAUAAGUAAUAGUAUCCUUAUGAUUGAAAAAGGCAGACAUAAAAAGAUUGAUUUAGAAAACAGAUUAUGCCCCUAUGUACAUUUGAAGUUGAAGAUAAAUUACACUUUACCAUAAAAUGUACCAACUCAAUGAUUUUAGGAAUAAAUGUUUUCGGAAUAUUUUACCAUCUUUCAAUAAUCUUUCAGACAUUGAAAAAUUCAAUUUCAUAUUUCGAAAUAAUGAUUAUGAUGUCAGUAAAUGUGGCAUAAAAGGUAUUAAUGAGAUGUACAAGUUCAGACGUUCACUGACUUAAGUUGUUUUAUGUUAUAUAUUACAUAAUAUGUAUUACUAGUAUCUAAAACUGUACCUCCUCAGUCAAAUAAAUAGAAGGGAAAAAAAAUAUAUUGAAAAAUUUCAAGAUUUUAUAUAUAUCUCUUUAUAUAUAGAUUCUACCACUGCAUCGAGAGUGAUACGAUAUUUAUCUACUCGAGACAGUAACAUUUUUAAAAUGUAACUGUCGAGAGUGGAUAAAUACCGUAUUACACGAGAUUUGGUGGUGGAAUCUGUUUCUCUACUGAUUUUCAAACAAUACGCAGGCAAAUUUAUUCCUUCUUUUCGAAUGAUCUGCAAAAAGAUGUGUUCUUUCUAUGUGACGUCAUCAGGCAUGGUCGCCUUUUUUCAUGCCGUCACAAUAGGAAAUUCAGAGGAAAGCAAGAAAAUUCGACGUCAUAAUCGGAUUUUAGCCAAUGAAGAACUGAGAUCAAACGAACCACACGUUGAUUAAUUUUUUUUUAUACAAUGGGUGCAGAAAGGGAUUAAUUGACGAAGAAUUAAAGAAAUAUAUAUAUUUUUUUGUUAUGUUCUGUAUUGAUAUAUAAUUGAUUGUAAUGAUUUAUGUUUGUUCUUUGUUUGUGUGUUGAUGACAAUCUAAAUUUUGGAUUUUAUAUCAAUAAAAUCCUUGACUUUGA